UGACUUAAACCCUCACCAGAGUACCAAUUGGAGGGCAAGUCUGGUGCCAGCAGCCGCGGUAAUUCCAGCUCCAAUAGCGUAUAUUAAACUUGUUGCAGUUAAAAAGCUCGUAGUUGAAUUUCAGCGUUGUUUUCGUGUUCCUUGUUUUUGGGUGACGUCUACUUCGCUUUUUGUUAUUACUUUGAGAAAAUUAGAGUGUUUCAAGCAGGCUUUUGUCUUGAAUACUUGAGCAUGGAAUAAUAGAGUAGGACCUUGGUUCUUCUUUGUUGGUUUUUGUUACCUUGGUAAUGGUUAAUAGGAACGGUUGGGGGCAUUCGUAUUUAACUGUCAGAGGUGAAAUUCUUAGAUUUGUUAAAGACGAACUACUGCGAAAGCAUUUGCCAAGGACGUUUCCAUUAAUCAAGAACGAAAGUUAGGGGAUCGAAGACGAUCAGAUACCGU
Molecule: ribosomal RNA, 441 nt
Filed under: Babesia sp.
Lineage: Eukaryota; Apicomplexa; Aconoidasida; Piroplasmida; Babesiidae
Description: SSU rRNA
Rfam family: Eukaryotic small subunit ribosomal RNA
Source: RNAcentral